AUGUUUGUCACAAAAUACCUCAGAGAGCUGGCUGAUUGCAAAUCAAAGGAGACGACCCGUCCGGCACAAGCUGUUCCCAGCAACCGGACAAGAUGGAUCCGACCUCCUCAUGGUUAUGCAAAAAUCAGGGUGGAUGGUGUUGUCAACAGAGCCAACGACGAGGGCUCCUACAACGCUAUAUGCAGAGACCAGAGCGGGAAGUACAUGGGGUCAUCGGCUAUCAGGAGUGUUGGGGUUACCGAUCCAACAACAUUGGAGACUCUGGCGUGUCGAGAAGCAAUGGCCCUUGCUUUGGACCUCUCAUUAACUCAUGUGGAGAUUGCUUCGGACUGUAAAAAUGUUGUUCAGGACAUAAACCUUGGCACUAGAGGAAUGAACACGAGCAUCGUGAAGGAGAUUAGAGCUACUGCUACUCAAUUUCAUAGUUGUGUCUUCGUCUUUGAAGGCAGAGUUUCGAAUCAGGAGGCCCAUAGCCUUGCUAAGCAUGCUUUUGGUCUGGACCCGGGGCGUCAUGUGUGGCUCAUAAACCCCCGAGACCUGAAUUGUAUCCCUAUGAACAUCAUUAAUUAA
RNAcentral lists this ribosomal RNA (570 nucleotides) under Triticum aestivum (bread wheat). RNAcentral describes it as "partial small subunit ribosomal RNA". The record is from RNAcentral. Lineage: Eukaryota; Viridiplantae; Streptophyta; Magnoliopsida; Poales; Poaceae.